RNAcentral lists this ribosomal RNA (301 nucleotides) under uncultured bacterium. Its description in RNAcentral is "partial 16S ribosomal RNA". It matches the Rfam family "Bacterial small subunit ribosomal RNA", at positions 509 to 809 of the family's 1533-position model. The record is from RNAcentral.
CAGUCGCCGCGGUAAUACGAAGGGUGCAAGCGUUACUCGGAAUUACUGGGCGUAAAGCGUGCGUAGGUGGUGGUUUAAGUCCGUUGUGAAAGCCCUGGGCUCAACCUGGGAAUUGCAGUGGAUACUGGAUCACUAGAGUGUGGUAGAGGAUAGUGGAAUUUCCGGUGUAGCAGUGAAAUGCGUAGAGAUCGGAAGGAACAUCUGUGGCGAAGGCGACUAUCUGGGCCAACACUGACACUGAGGCACGAAAGCGUGGGGAGCAAACAGGAUUAGAUACCCGCGUAGUCCCUGUCUCUUAUAA